UACGUAGGGGGCGAGCGUUGUCCGGAAUUACUGGGUGUAAAGGGCGUGUAGGCGGGGGUGCAAGUUAUCGGUAAAAACCCGAGGCUCAACUUCGGGCUUGCCGGUAAAACUGUAUCUCUUGAGUGCAGGAGAGGGAAGUGGAAUUCCCGGAGUAGCGGUGAAAUGCGUAGAUACCGGGAGGAACACCAGUGGCGAAGGCGGCUUCCUGGCCUGCUACUGACGCUGAGGCGCGAAAGCUAGGGUAGCGAACGGGAUUAGAUACCCCGGUAGUCCUAGCUGUAAACGAUGGUUACUAGGUGUGGGUGGGUUCAAACCAUCCGUGCCGGAGCUAACGCAAUAAGUAACCCACCUGGGGAGUACGGCCGCAAGGCUGAA
This 375-nucleotide ribosomal RNA is filed under the name uncultured bacterium. RNAcentral describes it as "bacterial SSU rRNA". It matches the Rfam family "Bacterial small subunit ribosomal RNA", at positions 524 to 898 of the family's 1533-position model. The record is from RNAcentral.